AUGCACAGUGCUAACCCCGGGCUUGUCGGACUGGAAUCCUUUGAAGAAUGAAUCCCCAAUGACUGUGCUAGAUCCACCAUGCCAUUCAGUGUUGCAGGUCAUGAUGCUUCGAGCUCGUGAUUGGUCUGUGUCAGCGUGAUGGAUACAUUC
This 150-nucleotide small nucleolar RNA is filed under the name Oryza nivara. RNAcentral's name for it is "snoRNA snoR134". It matches the Rfam family "small nucleolar RNA snoR134". Lineage: Eukaryota; Viridiplantae; Streptophyta; Magnoliopsida; Poales; Poaceae. The record is from Rfam by way of RNAcentral.